GAUGAACGCUGGCGGCGUGCUUAACACAUGCAAGUCGAACGGAAAGGCCAGUGCUUGCACUGGUACUCGAGUGGCGAACGGGUGAGUAACACGUGGGUGAUCUGCCCUGCACUUCGGGAUAAGCCUGGGAAACUGGGUCUAAUACCGGAUAGGACAAUGGUUUGGAUGCCGUUGUGGAAAGUUUUUUCGGUGUGGGAUGAGCUCGCGGCCUAUCAGCUUGUUGGUGGGGUAAUGGCCUACCAAGGGGUCGACGGGUAGCCGGCCUGAGAGGGUGUACGGCGACAUUGGGACAGAGAUACGGCCCAGACUCCUACGGGAGGCAGCAGUGGGGAAUAUUGCACAAUGGGCGCAAGCCUGAGGCAGCGACGCCGCGUGGGGGAUGACGGCCUUCGGGUUGUAAACUCCUUUCGCUAGGGACGAAGCGUAUUUGUGACGGUACCUGGAGAAGAAGCACCGGCUAACUACGUG
RNAcentral lists this ribosomal RNA (468 nucleotides) under uncultured bacterium. Its description in RNAcentral is "partial 16S ribosomal RNA". It matches the Rfam family "Bacterial small subunit ribosomal RNA", at positions 28 to 507 of the family's 1533-position model. The record is from RNAcentral.